AGAGUUUGAUCCUGGCUCAGAUUGAACGCUGGCGGCAUGCCUAACACAUGCAAGUCGAACGGAAACGAUGGGAGCUUGCUCCCAGGCGUCGAGUGGCGGACGGGUGAGUAAUGCUUAGGAAUCUGCCCAGUAGUGGGGGACAACCAGGAGAAAUUCUGGCUAAUACCGCAUACGCACUACGGUGGAAAGUGGGGGACCUUCGGGCCUCACGCUAUUGGAUGAGCCUAAGUCGGAUUAGCUUGUUGGUAGGGUAAUGGCCUACCAAGGCGACGAUCCGUAGCUGGUCUGAGAGGACGAUCAGCCACACUGGGACUGAGACACGGCCCAGACUCCUACGGGAGGCAGCAGUGGGGAAUAUUGGACAAUGGGCGCAAGCCUGAUCCAGCAAUGCCGCGUGUGUGAAGAAGGCCUGCGGGUUGUGUAAAGCACUUUCAGUAGAGAAGAAAAGCUUAGGGUUAAUAACCCUGAGUCUUGACGUAACCUACAGAAGAAGCACCGGCUAACUCCGUGCCAGCAGCCGCGGUAAUACGGAGGGUGCGAGCGUUAAUCGGAAUUACUGGGCGUAAAGCGCGCGUAGGCGGCUUGGUCAGUCGGAUGUGAAAGCCCCGGGCUUAACCUGGGAAUUGCAUUCGAUACUGCCUGGCUGGAGUGUAGUAGAGGGAAGCGGAAUUCCGGGUGUAGCGGUGAAAUGCGUAGAGAUCCGGAGGAACAUCAGUGGCGAAGGCGACCUUCUGGGCUGACACUGACGCUCAUGUACGAAAGCGUGGGGAGCAAACAGGAUUAGAUACCCUGGUAGUCCACGCCGUAAACGAUGUCAACUAGCUGUUGGGGGGAUCUGCCUCUUAGUAGCGUAGCUAACGCGAUAAGUUGACCGCCUGGGGAGUACGGCCGCAAGGCUAAAACUCAAAUGAAUUGACGGGGGCCCGCACAAGCGGUGGAGCAUGUGGUUUAAUUCGAUGCAACGCGAAAAACCUUACCUGCCCUUGACAUGCAGCGAACUUUCCAAACUUGGGGGUCAGCUUGGCUGGAUCGGUGACAGGUGCUGCAUGGCUGUCGUCAGCUCGUGUCGUGAGAUGUUGGGUUAAGUCCCGCAACGAGCGCAACCCUUGUCCUUAGUUGCCAUCAUUUAGUUGGGCACUCUAGGGAGACUGCCGGUUUAAACCGAGGAAAAGGUGGGGACUACGUCAAGUCAUCAUGGCCCUUAUGUCCAGGGCUACACACGUGCUACAAUGGCCGGUACAAAGGGCAGCAAUACCGCGAGGUGGAGCGAAUCCCAAAAAGCCGGUCUCAGUUCGGAUUGGAGUCUGCAACUCGACUCCAUGAAGUUGGAAUCGCUAGUAAUCGCGUAUCAGCGUGACGCGGUGAAUACGUUCCCGGGCCUUGUACACACCGCCCGUCACACCACGGGAGUGGGUUGCAAAAGAAGUAAGUAGCUUAACCUUCGGGAUGGCGCUUACCACUUUGUGAUUCAUGACUGGGGUGAAGUCGUAACAAGGUAGCC
Molecule: ribosomal RNA, 1501 nt
Filed under: uncultured prokaryote
Description: partial 16S ribosomal RNA
Rfam family: Bacterial small subunit ribosomal RNA
Source: RNAcentral